GCCGUCCGAGCCCGAAAGCGCCUGCGCGGAGUCGACGCGGGCCCGCCUGGGACGGGCCGGCAUGGCGUUCCGGCAGGCGCUGCAGCUGGCGGCCUGCGGCCUGGCCGGGGGCUCGGCCGCCGUGUUCUUCUCGGCGGUGGCAGUGGGGAAGCCCCGGGCGGGCGGGGACGCGGAGCUGCGCGUGGUCGAGCCGCCGGCGUGGGCGGGGGCCGCGCGCCCCGGGCCCGGCGUCUGGGACUCCAACUGGGACAGGAGAGAACCGCCGUCCCUGGUCAACCUGCGGAAGAGGAACCUGGAGCCCGGAGAAGAAGAGCUGGCGUCCAGGCUGGACCACUACAAGGCCAAGGCCACACGGCACAUCUUCCUCAUUAGGCACUCCCAGUACCACGUGGACGCCUCCCUGGAGAAGGACCGCACGCUGACGCCCCUGGGUCGUGAGCAGGCUGAACUAACCGGUCUCCGACUUGCAAGUUUGGGGUUGAAGUUUAAUAAAAUCGUCCAUUCCUCCAUGACCCGUGCAAUAGAAACCACUGACAUCAUCAGCAAACACCUGCCAGGCGUCUGCAAGGUCAGCACAGACCUGCUGAGGGAAGGCGCCCCCAUCGAGCCUGACCCCCCCGUGUCUCACUGGAAGCCGGAGGCUGUGCAGUAUUACGAGGACGGGGCGCGGAUCGAGGCCGCCUUCCGGAACUACAUCCACCGGGCGGACGCCAAGCAGCAGGAGGACAGCUACGAGAUCUUCAUCUGCCACGCCAACGUCAUCCGCUAUAUCGUGUGCAGGGCGCUGCAGUUCCCUCCAGAAGGCUGGCUCCGCCUUUCCCUCAACAACGGCAGCAUUACCCACCUGGUAGUCCGGCCAGAUGGCCGAGUGGCUCUCAGGACCCUCGGGGACACGGGGUUCAUGCCUCCUGACAAGAUCUCCCGCUCCUGAGGGCCGCCUCGAGGCCCCGCUCUCCUUCUCAGCCCCCUGCCGGCCUGGCGUGGGUGCCACCGAGACCGUGGGCUCCUCCCCUGCCCCCCACCGGCCGCGCCCCGGGGCCAACGCUCCAGGGCUCCAGGGCUCCGGGGCUCCGGGGCUCCGGGGCGCGGCAGCCGGAGAGAAGGCGGCUCCACGUUGCGGCGCUGCAGCACUGAGCUGCUGGCCCAGGAUGGAGAAGGGAAGCGCUCAGGUCAGAUCAGCUUCGUCUCUCGCAGUGUCUCUGCCUCACUCUCGUCCACCAGGAUGAGCCCGUGGGGUCUAAGCAGGCCUGUUUCAGGGACUGGACGAGGCCCGCAGAUGCCGUCCCCGCAGGGGCCGCGGCAGACACCGCAGCGCGCCGUCCGUCAGCAGAGCCCGUCAGGCAGGAGGAGGAGGGUGCCCGUGCUUCUUCCAUUCGUAACUUAUUUCGCUGCUUACACUCUUUUUUCAUUGCCUAGAACUCUUUGUCACUUAAGUUUCUAUUAAUUGAAGAUUUUCCUCAUCUGGUUCUUGCUUUGAAAACCCAUUUCUCACUCCCGAGUCACACAGCCCUGCCGCUGUUGGAUCUGAACUCACGUGUGUUGCUAGGCCUUUCUGGACACAGAGGAGGGGCACCUUGGCAGGAAACGGGAAGCCUGUGCAGCACGACCAACAGCAGCCCCACACUUGCUGAGAUAGUUUCAGCAGAAAGCUCUCUUCCCCAGUCUUUUGUGCACCCUGCGCUGACAGUUUUGCAGGGUGUCUGCCCACCAGGGGCCUCAGUGAGAGGCCCUGACCCAGGACAGUGAGCUUGGUAAGUAAAAGCAGCAAGCACACACCGUUCUGUCGAAAUAGUUCCGACAAGUUAGCCAGGGGCUGUGCUAAUGUCGGAGACCAGAAAAGCCAGAGGCGGCACCAGGUGUCUGGCCUCGGGCGCUGUGAGGCCCCGCAGCUGAGCCCUGGGCCCCCGGCCCCUCGGGCUUGCGCGGCCACCCUGCUGUCCUGUCUGCAGACCUGGCUUUUCCAUGGUGUGUCCCCCCUUUACACUUGACCUUUGAGAAGCAGGGCAGCAUUUUAGAAACAGGAAAGGAGCCCAGGAGCGGGACAGUGGUGUUCGGAUGGGGUCAGUUAGUUACAGGGGCCCAGGGAUGUCACACUGGAAACCGCCCCGAGGUAGGAUAGAUGACCGAGAACUUCUGAAACAUCGGGAACGUCGUCCUAAGUUUGACUAAAAUGGAAAACCACGCCAAGAGCCCGUGUAACAGGAGGGAUCCUGAACUGACAACAGUAGGAACAGUAGUGGUUCCUACUGACUGUGUUGCUGUUUGUUCCAAAAUAUUUUCUUUCUUUUGAGACGGUUGAGGAAGGAGCCCGAGGGCACGUGUAAGCAGAGACCCCUCCCUGCGGGCCUCCACGCACGCACAGACCUGCGCAGUUCCAGCAGCCUGGGGGACAAACCCGGCUGGGGACGCCUGGCGAGGCGGUCACCCCACAGGUGUUCCCUCUGAGCUGCGAAUGCUUCUGGACACAUCCAAAGACUAUCCCAGAGGAUCCCUCUGGAUCCAGGAGCGGGGAACCUUCUGGAGCUGCGCACACUGCAGCCCCUGGCACCUCAGCCACCACCCGCUGCAUCAGGGGGUUCCCGGCGCCUCUUCCCAACUGAAGAAACUACACACUGAUUGUCAGUGUCACAGAAAGGCUCCCCAUUUCCCAGGGCAGUUAUAAAAUAUCUGACAGUUUAACUGAUGCCAAGAUGUUUCACAACCGUGUUAGGAAAGAAAGGGCCCCAAACAGCAAAUAAACCACGCUCAGAUUAAUGUUCUGUUUAACCAAAAUAA
Molecule: RNA transcript, 2775 nt
Organism: Balaenoptera acutorostrata (minke whale)
Lineage: Eukaryota; Metazoa; Chordata; Mammalia; Artiodactyla; Balaenopteridae
Gene: PGAM5
Gene name: PGAM family member 5, mitochondrial serine/threonine protein phosphatase
Exons: 7
Source: RefSeq, a predicted model, not a curated record